This 89-nucleotide transfer RNA is filed under the name Candidatus Pelagibacter sp. RNAcentral's name for it is "tRNA-Ser". It matches the Rfam family "tRNA". Rfam says of the family: Transfer RNA (tRNA) molecules are approximately 80 nucleotides in length. The record is from RNAcentral. Lineage: Bacteria; Pseudomonadati; Pseudomonadota; Alphaproteobacteria; Candidatus Pelagibacterales; Candidatus Pelagibacteraceae.
GGAGAGGUGGCCGAGUGGUUGAAGGCGCACGCUUGGAAAGCGUGUAAAGGAUUAUCCUUUCAUGGGUUCGAAUCCCAUUCUCUCCGCCA